CUGGAACGCGCCCUAGGCGCACCCAGAAACCCUUUGUGAACUUAUACCUUACUGUUGCCUCGGCGCAUGCUGGCCCCCUCGGGGCCCCCUGGAGACAGGGAGCAGGCACGCCGGCGGCCAAGUUAACUCUUGUUUUUACACUGAAACUCUGAGAAAAAACACAAAUGAAUCAAAACUUUCAACAACGGAUCUCUUGGUUCUGGCAUCGAUGAAGAACGCAGCGAAAUGCGAUAAGUAAUGUGAAUUGCAGAAUUCAGUGAAUCAUCGAAUCUUUGAACGCACAUUGCGCCCUCUGGUAUUCCGGAGGGCAUGCCUGUUCGAGCGUCAUUUCAACCCUCAAGCAUUGCUUGGUGUUGGGGCACUGCUUUUAACGAAGCAGGCCCUGAAAUCUAGUGGCGAGCUCGCCAGGACCCCGAGCGCAGUAGUUAAACCCUCGCUCUGGAAGGCCCUGGCGGUGCCCUGCCGUUAAACCCCCAACUUCUGAAAAUUUGACCUCGGAUCAGGUAGGAAUACCCGCUGAACUUAAGCAUAUCAAU
Molecule: ribosomal RNA, 536 nt
Filed under: Phomopsis sp. 139SD/S
Lineage: Eukaryota; Fungi; Ascomycota; Sordariomycetes; Diaporthales; Diaporthaceae
Description: eukaryotic LSU rRNA
Rfam family: 5.8S ribosomal RNA (bases 174-327)
Source: RNAcentral